Gymnodraco acuticeps is the source of this 2830-nucleotide RNA transcript. RefSeq lists it as uncharacterized. The transcript is spliced from 6 exons. The record is from RefSeq and is a predicted model, not a curated record. Lineage: Eukaryota; Metazoa; Chordata; Actinopteri; Perciformes; Bathydraconidae.
UCUUUUUACGCACAAAUCUCCUGAGCGCAUCGGGCACACCUUAGAGCAUAUUUACCCCUUGGAUGGAAGAUAAGGACAUUCAUCACAUUCCUAUAAUAAGAGCGUUGUUCUGUACCUGAACGAACCGGCUCUGCUGCUCCUUCACGUCUGAUGAGCAACAACAGCUGCAAAAAGUCGGUUUUUUUUCUUCAAGUCUGAGAAAAUUCCCACGGUUCUCUCAUCCACUGUGGAGCUGAACAGGGGUCCAAACACAGGAUCCAGAGAGUAAGACGAAAUGCGCACUGAAUAUCUGCAAAGGAGAGAGAGAAUGGAGAGAGAGGAGACGUUGAGAGAGAAAAGGAGAGAGAGAGAGAAAAGGAGAGAGAGAGAGAAAAGGAGAGAGAGAGACAGGCGCAAACUGCAAAAGGUGAAAUAUGUGGUCGGUUCCAUUUUCCUCUCAGUCUCCAUGUCAGCACGAAAGGAGGAUUCAGUCUCCUCUCAACAUCAGAACUGUUGUUCCAUCCACGUAGGAUCCCAACUUGAGAUAGAAAUUGAUUAUCCGAAACGAGCUCGUGUCAAGGAGAGAGAACUGAGCUCAAUCACAUGCAGACGUGCUCUGGUGGCUUCAGAGACACUCAUCACUCAGUCUGUGGCAGAGGAUGACAGAAACCACCCCAUGUCUCACCAGAUGACGGCAGACUGCAGGAGGAGAUGCAGAUCACAGCCUGUUUGGCAGUUGGGACACUUUUACUAAGGAAGUGUACACCCUUGAGGCUGCUGCAGUUUAAACAAUAACUAUAUUAAUGAGACGAACAUACAACAAUGAAGUAUCUUCCGGAGUUCUUCUGUUUCGUGAGUACUAAAACAAAUAAAACAGCCUCUCUCCUAACAGCUCAGGCCCAGGCAGCUGCCUUCCUCCAGCUAUGGCUCCCCCUAGCCGUGCCUCCAUGUUUCCUUGUUAAUGCACACCAUAAUGCCCUGACCCACCCUGAUCUAUUACACAGCAAAUACACCAAAAUAUACCUCAUUUUCUUCGUCUAAAUGUGUAGUAUAUAACCUCCAUCUGCCUCUAAGCCAACAUUAGGCAGCAUUGGUAACAGCAGAAGAGAGGAUUUCUUACCUUUUGAGAGUGGCUAUGGUUAAACCUCCCUCUCCAAAGUCUCUACUUCGACAGCCUCCUUCUUCUUCCCAGCAAUCCCUGCAAAAAAGGACACUUCCAUGUAAGUUGAACAUGUAGGGGUGAUCAAAUUGAACUUGACUCAUUUGUAAGAGCCCAGAAAGACCUCAAAACCCAGGAAUGGCCAUUUUGGAACCAAAUAGAAAUAUUCUCCAUAUUUAAAUUUUAAAAUGGCAUGUUAAUGGCAUUAAACAGCAAAACCCACUCCUCAAAUAUACCAUGUACCACCCCUAUGUUUUCCACUUAUUAUGGUCCAUCCAGUAGUCAUACAGUUGAUACUGAAGGGCGAUUGUUAGUUGGUGCGCAGCUGAACUCUCAGGCGCAUUUUGCUGCCUGUUGUGCGUUUGCCAAGCCCCAGAGCGUCUUGUAGAGCCUAGAAAUAGACCAUUGGUUGUAUUUAUGAAUCAAUUGGACCCUUUUCUUGUUAACUGGACCAAAACAACUGGAAGAAAAAUAUUUUCAUGAGCGUAGAAUCCAACCAGCCAAAGGGAGCUCUUUGGAUCCAAAUGGACUUCUCCAAAAGUGCACAGGUGCAUCCAAAGGCAGAGAGCCCUUAAAGGCUUCAGGAGGGAAAACAACUGGUGGCAGGAGGAGCGCUUUGUUGACAUCAAUAACGAUCUCUGCAGGCAGUGAGUAUACACAGCACAAGAGAGAGGUGUGGGUACAAAUACGGACUAUUAACGUUAAUUAUAUUGAAGGCCUAUUUGGGUAAAAUAUAUAGCACUGAGCAUAGGCUACUGUAUUGUUGUAAUUGACAUUACACAAGCCUAAUAUUGUCUGAUUUCAUUAAAUGUGUGAAUAUUUUAAAAUUAAAAUAAAUAUAUGGAAAUACUGUUUGUCUUUAUUGUGCGGAAUUUCCAGAAAAAGAUACAAAGAAAGCUUUAUUUAAUCAGGGGUCAUUUUGCUUAUUUUUUUAUCUGAAGUGGCCAUGUUGCCACAGAAGCUGUUACAUUAGUACAUUAGUUUUAGAGGGCCUCAGAAUGUAUGUAUUCAAUCAUAUGAUAGUAAAAAAAAGUAAUGGUAUGAUAUGUUAAAAGUAUAGUACAUUUCUACUGAUAUUGUCGACAUAUACUAUCAAGUAAGUAAGUAAGACAUACUAUGUUUUUUUUAAUAUAUAUAUAUUCCACAUACUAUACGUUUUUUUUUCAGAUAUUUUCAACAUACUAUACUAAGACUUUUUUUCCGGCAAUUUAAGCUAUGUUUUUUUGUCAUUUAUUCUACAUAUGAUACCAUCAUUUAUUUUUGUUUAAAUUAUUAGAAACACUAUACUAUACGUUUUUGUUUUUUUUAAGUUGUGACAUACUAUACUUUGGCCUUUUCAUUAUGUUUUUGACAUACUAAUCUAUAACUUAAUUCAACAUGCUAUAUUACUUUUCUCACAUUUUCAUAUUUUUUGACAUGCUUUCCUUUUAUAAUUGUCUCAUAUUUCUGUGCCACUAUCCUAUAACAUCCUGUAGCCUACUACUUUCUUUCCUCUCUUUCGACACUAUACUCGGUCGUUUUAUCUGAUAAUUCACUUAUUCACAUCCUAAAAAAGCCAGUGAAGUAUGUCCUCAUUAGACAAGUCUUUUAGAAAUGUCAAAAUAUUGUACAGCAUGCCAUUAAAAGACUAUUGAACAAUUGCAUUUAAAUUAUGUUUAAAAAAAAAUAAGCAAACAAACUAGUCUUCCAGUA